RNAcentral lists this ribosomal RNA (390 nucleotides) under uncultured bacterium. Its description in RNAcentral is "bacterial SSU rRNA". It matches the Rfam family "Bacterial small subunit ribosomal RNA", at positions 30 to 414 of the family's 1533-position model. The record is from RNAcentral.
AGUGAACGCUGGCGGCAGGCCUAAUACAUGCAAGUCGAACGGCAGCACAGCAGAGCUUGCUCUGUGGGUGGCGAGUGGCGGACGGGUGAGGAAUACAUGGGAAUCUGCCCAGUCGUGGGGGAUAACGUAUGGAAACGUACGCUAAUACCGCAUGCGCCCUAAGGGGGAAAGCCGGGGACCGCAAGGCCUGGCGCGAUUGGAUGAGCCCAUGUUCGAUUAGCUAGUUGGCGGGGUAAAGGCCCACCAAGGCGACGAUCGAUAGCUGGUCUGAGAGGAUGAUCAGCCACACUGGAACUGAGACACGGUCCAGACUCCUACGGGAGGCAGCAGUAGGGAAUAUUGGACAAUGGGGGCAACCCUGAUCCAGCAAUGCCGCGUGAGUGAAGAAGG